AUGAAAAAAUGUUUAAUAUAUAUAGUUCCGAUUGCAUUAAGGUCAGAUAAGCAACGCUGGCGUUGUAAUUUAGGUUGGAAAUAAACGCGUUUUAAAAAAUAAUCCGGGUCAUGUUCUGAUCCGGGUUAUAUAUAUCCACGUUAAUCUUUUUUGCUUAGAUUUUUUAAUUAUCCAAUGAUUUAAAUAAUUACUUUUUUUUGGCGUUAUGCUAAGUUACGUGACCUGUUAUUUAGGUAAUUUCAGUUUUGCCGGUCGGUGUUUUUUUAACGAGUGUCGUUAGGAGGGGUGUGACCCCACCUGGCCUCCCUGGUACCGGCCCAACUCUUUGGUUGUAACAUUUAGGAAUGGUCACAAUUGAAAAGUGAAAUCGAUCCGUUCGGAUCAGGGCCGGAUUGGAACGUGGGUCCGGAACCAGGGGUCUUAAAUUACACCCACGUUAUUUUUGUUAAAGAGCUGCCUAUAGUUUUUAAAGGGUAUGUGUAUAUAUUGAAAAUUAUUUUCGAUAUUGGACAGCAAAGACAGAAAUUAUUAACCGAGAUAAUUUUGCUUACUGUUGUCCAGCAGCGGCCGCCGUAGCUUCGGCAAGCAAUUUGGCGUAUAGAACAGGCAUUUGCCUAUUAACGGCCUGCUUAGCAAACUCCGCCGGGCUCGUGGUUGCUAUUUCGGGAUAUAGUUUUUUACCGUCCAGGUAGCCCAGAUAUUCGGUAUAUUUUGGCCUGUUUUCUUUUCAAAUAAAUAUAAUAUUCCAAUAUUAAUAUUUAACCCAGUCGAAAUAUAUGUACGAAAUUGGGUGUUGCGGUAAUGCAAAUCCUCGUAUUAUUUUAUCGGUAACCUUUUCUUUGGAAAUUUGGGGGUAAAACGUUAAUAUAAUAGUUUGAAAAACCAGCCCUGGUUGCAUUAGUUCGAACCCAUAUAUUAUUUAGCUAUUUUUUUUCCGUUGGCCUGUUUAAUUGCGUCGUAAAUCUGGUUGGUAAUACUGAUGGAAUUGUAGAUAAAAACCCUUUUGUUUAACGUACGAGGGUCCGUAAUAAUUCGGGCGACCCAUUUCCCUAUAUUUUUCAAAUCGGAAUAUGCAGAAGGAACGUUUCCAUUUCCGGUAAUUUGGUUAAAAAUUGCAGGUGAGAUGUAAUUGGUCCGUUUCGAGGGCAAAUGGGGGAAUGCGAGCUGGUACCAGUACCCAAUAUUAACGACGGUGUAGGGAAUAUGGGCCGCCUUAACGUAGUUUAGGAUUUCUUUUUUUUAUUUGCACAAUAAAUAAAACCGUUAAUAACCUUUCCAUAUUAUCGUAUUUUUACCUGGUUUGCCAAGGCAAACAUACCGACAGGAGCUUGAACCAGGCCAAAGUUGCAUGGUAAAAAACGCUUUACCCCCGCAGUUUUAAUAUAAUUAAUAAGCGUACGUUGCUAAGCGAUAUUGGUUGCAUUUAUGGCCGAAAUAAUAAUAUCGAAUCCCUCCAAAGUUUUGACCAGGUCCGAUUGCGGCCCAGCCAAAUUAACAGGUACGGUUUUGGCGCCUUUGCUAAUUAAAUCGAGCAGUUUAAUAUCCUUUAGCGAAGAAGCCCGGACGAGCGCAGUGAUAUUUUAAAGCCGGUUUGGUUAAUUAAGGUCCGUUUCCUGCGUUAGGCGUAUGUAAAGCAACCGUUUUACAAACUCGUUUGCCGAAUUUAUAAGGGUAUUGGCAAUGGAUUUCCCGGUUUAACCGGUCGUUCCGAGGAUAGCAAUUUUUAUUUUUAAUGGUUUGGAAAGGUGUUUAAUAUAUAUUUGUCGAUUGUUUUUGGUUAUUUAUUUCGGGAUAAAGCGGGUUUAUGCGAAAUUUUUAUACCUUAUUUUUGUUACGGCCAGGGUAAAUAUACCAAAAAAGCUAAUUUAUUGUUAGCAAUCGACCAAAAUUUUACCGCAAAAAAGGAAACGAAAUAAAUAAAAUUCCGAUUUUGACGCGACGUGGAUAAACGCAUUACUUUUGUGGGUUAUUGUUCGUUGGUCGGGGUUAGGGUUAGGGUUUGGUAAUCUUAGGGUCCGAAUAUUUCGUUUUAAUUUUCGGGUUUUUUCUAAAAUCCGCAACGGGUUUUUUCCACAUGUCGAAAUAAUAUUAAUUUCAACGCCCAUUCGGAAAUUGCAAAUUAAUUUUUGUUACGGAAUCUCGGAGCAAAAAAUCGCCCCUUUUGUUUUUCAAAAGUUUCCGAAUUUUUAACCAAACGUUGAAAAAAUAAUUAAAGGCGGAGGUUAAAACAAGUCCAGAAACCCGACAAUAUCCGUGCAAAUUAUGCCGGGGAGUACCAGCAGACCAAUCGGAAUGUACCACCGUGAACAAAAUCCCGGCCCCAUAAUACCAUUGUUAUUAAAUAAAGUUAAAGAUUUUAGUCCCUGCCAAAUAUAUAGCCGGGCCCCAAAUUAUUUUGCGCCAUCCAUUUAAUUUAAUAAUAGCCAAGCAGCGUUUCCCUUCCUAGCCCACCUCCCAAAUGCCUCCUGGUCCAGCACGUGCCGAAUAAUUGACUUAUUACAUUAUUUAUAUUAAUGUUGGUAAAAUUUAUUAUUUCCUUUAGAACGAAUAAGUAAUAUUGGAAUGAAACAAAUAUUGAGAAAUUCCAAUAGAAUUUAAUAGCAAUUAAAUUUAUUAAAUGGCAUUUAAGGGUUUUUUUAAAGACGGCUGUUUAGCAAUUAAAUAAGGGAAAGAUUUUAUUACGAAAACGAUCCCAGAAAAACAAGGGUGUAAUAUAAGGGCGAUUUUAUUCGAAAAUUUAAAGCUAAAUGUAAAAUAAGAAAGGUACGUAAUACCAAUCGCGUACACGCGCCUAAACGAAUAAUAAUAAACGAUCCCUGGCGCCUUAUUACGUAGGGUGGAGCUAAUUAGAUUAGCAGUCGCCCAGGCACGCCAUUCCGUAACAAUAUCGAUUUUAUUAAUAAUAUGAAAAUCUCCCUGCAUAUGGAAGUUUUGCGACUAGCGGGGAUUCGGAGCCCAUCGGUCUUCCGCGUUUCAUUCCCCCCGCUCGACCGAAAAAUAUAAAAUAAUGUAUAAAUAUGCUAUUAUUAACCAGCCCUGUGGUAUUAAUUUCGAAAUAUCACCAAAUAAAAAGGCAAGUUUUAAAGUCCAGCAAAAAUAGAAAUUGUUAAAUAAUGUCAGCGAACGAGGCGAACGUCGCCGCCGCAUAACCAAUUAAUUUUAACGUGUCCCAUUUUUAACCAUUAUUUAGAGUUUUAACUAAUAAAUAAUACAAACGCCUAUAUUUACGGAAAGUUGGUUUUUUAACUUUAUAAUUACUAAUUAAAUUUGGUGAGAUUGGUAAUAGUGGCCUUUGCGGGCUAUAUUACAGCAAAACAAAGGGAGAAAAAGAAAAACAAUCUGUUUCGCAAAUUAUUACCCUUUGUUUUUGUCGCAGACCCAAAUAUCGUUCAUUAGCCAGCUAAUUAAUGUCAACGGUGUUUUUAUACGACGACCGGGGGACAUGAUUAUUUUCAAAGGAUUUUGGGCAAUUAUUCGCGCGUAUGGGGAACAAAAUUUAAUUGCUGAUUGGAUAGAUGUUAUAAGAUGUUAUAAAUUUGUCAAAAAUGCGGGGUUACCUAAAUUUAAAUUAACCCCGUAUAUUUAUAAUUUUAGCCUAGCUGGUUUGGACCAGGUAUUAUCCGCACCACCCAAAAUCCUUAAUGCGGGUACGAGCAUAUAUAUAUAUAUAAGGCAAUUUAAAUAUUUUAGAAUUCCAUUACAAAUUACUCCAAAUAUUAUUUUAAACCAUCCAUCCUGCAUUAAUUAUAUUUAUAUUAGACCCAAUUUAUAUAAUAA
Molecule: small RNA, 3777 nt
Filed under: Pyricularia oryzae
Lineage: Eukaryota; Fungi; Ascomycota; Sordariomycetes; Magnaporthales; Pyriculariaceae
Description: Magnaporthe oryzae sRNA M_BR32_EuGene_00086401
Source: RNAcentral